This is a long non-coding RNA of Coregonus clupeaformis (lake whitefish), 147 nucleotides long. RefSeq lists it as uncharacterized. The transcript has 2 exons. The record is from RefSeq and is a predicted model, not a curated record. Lineage: Eukaryota; Metazoa; Chordata; Actinopteri; Salmoniformes; Salmonidae.
GAGGCAGAGAAGAGUCUCUCCAGAUCAGAACACCAGAUGGACAACACCAGCCCUUCCGCCCUCCCAGAGUCCCCGUGUCGUACCUCUCCCAGUAGCACCUUACUGCUGGGUCUGAAGAGGUUGUCUGUACGGCUGGUGGACUGCAGG